Molecule: ribosomal RNA, 247 nt
Filed under: uncultured bacterium
Lineage: Bacteria
Description: partial 16S ribosomal RNA
Rfam family: Bacterial small subunit ribosomal RNA
Source: RNAcentral
UACGAAGGGGGCUAGCGUUGCUCGGAAUCACUGGGCGUAAAGCGCACGUAGGCGGAUUGCUAAGUCAGGGGUGAAAUCCUGGAGCUCAACUCCAGAACUGCCUUUGAUACUGGCGAUCUCGAGUCCGGGAGAGGUGAGUGGAACUGCGAGUGUAGAGGUGAAAUUCGUAGAUAUUCGCAAGAACACCAGUGGCGAAGGCGGCUCACUGGCCCGGUACUGACGCUGAGGUGCGAAAGCGUGGGGAGCA